UUUGGAUAAUGAAUAAUGAGGAUCCUAAUGUACUAUUUGCAUUUUACAAAUAUAUAGAAGAUACUUAAGAAUUAAAGUACAACUUAAUCUGCAAUAACUAAUUCAUUAUAACUCUUUAAUAUGAAUUUGGAUACCCUGUUAAGCCUGCACAGAUCAUAAGAAGAAUUUCAAAUUCUUUGGCACCGUCCCUUGAUGAUCUUUGCUGGCUGGACACAGAAUCUAUAAUCUUAGAAAUAUGUUUUUAAAAUAUAUUUUCAAUAAUUAAGGAGCUUGACUCAUCUGCAUUAAGUACAAGUAGGGACUCCCCUUUAAGCACCGACUCUUGGUGCUUUCUGCAGAUAAGUCAUAUUAAAUAUCCUUUAUUAAAUAAACUUUGUUAUUUGCAGUAUACCUCAUAGUCAAAUGUGGGAGUGCUUAAUUG
This 421-nucleotide long non-coding RNA is filed under the name Mytilus galloprovincialis (Mediterranean mussel). The record is from RNAcentral. Lineage: Eukaryota; Metazoa; Mollusca; Bivalvia; Mytilida; Mytilidae.